This 4705-nucleotide long non-coding RNA is filed under the name Cairina moschata (Muscovy duck). Its description in RNAcentral is "domestica (muscovy Duck (domestic type)) lncRNA (ENSCMMG00000001023.1)". The record is from RNAcentral. Lineage: Eukaryota; Metazoa; Chordata; Aves; Anseriformes; Anatidae.
UAGAUGUUAGGAAGAACUUCUUUACUGAGAGGGUUGUUAGGCACUGGAACAGGCUGCCCAGGGAGGUGGUGGAGUCACCAUCCCUGGAAGUCUUUAAAAGACGUUUAGAUGUCGAGCUUAGGGAUAUGGUUUAGUGGGGACUGUUAGUGUUAGGUUAGAGGUUGGACUCGAUGAUCUUGAGGUCUCUUCCAACCUAGAAAUUCUGUGAUUCUGUGAUUCUUCUCAGCUUAAAGAACAAAUGUCAUCCAUUAAUGAAGAAAAAGAGGAGCUAGAACAACUUCUUCAGGACACCAGGGCUGAGCGGGACCAGCUCAAGAUGGAAUUGCAAAAAACCUCUGAGAUGUCUAUUGAAACGAGUGCUAAACUGGAAUGUGCUCUAAGUAAACUGAAGGAGAGAAGCCUGAGUGAUGUGUCUGUUCAAGUGGAUGCACUGGAUAACACAGAACAGAUGGAUGAUGACAGCCUGAAGGCAAAAAUCAUGCGAAUUGAGAUUAAAUUAAACACAAGAUUAUUGGUCAAAAGCACUCAGACAAACAACUACAAGAAAACAACCCUACCUGCAAGAAAACAACAACCCCCUUGUGAUUAGCAGUCACGUAGACCUUGUCUUUGAAGCCAGAUGCUGGUAACAAUAUUUUUCUAAAUUCCUCAAUUGGGCAAUGUGGGAACACUGUCAUGGGAACUUCUCAUAGUUGCCCUAGUAGCUUGGUUUUUCUCUAAAGCAGAGAGAGACCAGUUAGAGGCUAAGAGGCUAACUGUCAGGAGAGCAAGAAGAGAGUAUGUAUUUAAAUCUUUUAAUCUUUGUUUGAAAGACACGUUAUGCUACUAUACUCCUUGAGUCAUGAAGCCUGUUCAGUAUCUCUUCCUUUCUUCGUUUGUCCUCAGAAGCAGUAAACUAAAUGUAGGUUACUCAUCCAAUCUGGAUUUUGGAACUUGUUUCUUAAUUUUGUUUCACCACCCCUUUGGUCACUGUGCCACUCUGGGUUUAGCAACAGUUGUUUGCUGCCUGACGGACAAACGCUGCACAAGUUUCUGUGACAUUUUUCAUCUCCGGUAGCUUUGCAUUUAGCGCUGAGCAGUAAAGGUAAUACGGGUUUACAGAAAUCAAAGGGCUAAAGUCUCCUACCUUUUCAGUCCAGACUAAAUUGACCAAGAGAAAUCUAAACCUGGAAAAGAAAUGAUCGAAUGCAUUUCUCCUGCCUGAUGUCUUGUUCUUGGGGCAGAGUAGCACUUCAAGGUUCCAAGUACUGGCCUGAAAACGUGUUUAUGUUGACACAGUAUUUCAGACAAACUUAACCUGAGGUGCGGCCAACAAAAAUGGAGCUAGUAAGUAGGUAAAAGGAAGUCUGGCAAGUCUUUGCUAAGAGAUUUGCAGAGCCUUUCAUAAGAAUGAAAAGCUCUCGUGAAUUUGAGCAAACUUCAGAUAGUCCAUACAUACUGAAGAGACCGGAGAUCCUAACUGUUCCAAAACCUAAAAUCAGUUAACUCAGGUGAAAUCUUCAGAGUUGUAGAUCUUGCUCCAGCACAACUUGCCAAAACAUUCCCUUAACUGGUGACAGUUGCCCCAAGAAUUGUAAGUAAAAUUUAAGACAGACAUACGGGGUGAUCAGCCAUGUCACGCUUUGUUCUGCAGGUGUCAGAAGUUCUGGCAGAAAUGGAAAGUCUGCAGGAAGAACUAAAGCAUCGUAAAGAGCAAGCUGAUAUUCAGAAGAACUUGAUAGCAGAAGCAGAAGAGAAACAGCAAAAGACUUGUAGCAAGCCAUGGGAUUUUUGCUGUUUCGAAAAAUCCCUCAACAAUUCCCCCCCCUUUUUUUCUUCUCUGAGCAAACCAAGCCUGAUGUAACAGUUUUGCAAGUAACCCUAUAACCACUUUUAUCACAAUACAACAUGCAAUGAUGAUUGACACCACAGCAAACAGAAUCCUUAAUCCCUCUUUGACUAAUCCCAGUAACCAUCUAUGCAUCGUUUCAAACAAAUCAGUGAACCACUGAUUGAAAGGAUUGAUACCAUAUUGAAUCUUUCUCAUGUGCUCUUUCAGGAAAGUAAUGGAUUUGUGAAUUGACUCAUUCUGAUCAAAAAGGUUUAAACAGCACAUUUGCUCAGAGUCCCCACCCCCAUGGCUUUGAGCCAAAAGCAAGAUGUCAAUAGCAGCUUGAUCCUGUAAAAGCACAUGUCGCAGACUAUUUUGAUCUGGUAACAUCUCCUCGAGUAUCUCUGUCGGGGCAUGGGCUUGCUUCUCAGCCCAGCAUACCAAUUUUUCUAAGCUCUUAAUUGCGGCCACAGAUGCCACUUCUGGCACUAAAAUUGCCAAUGCCGCUCUAGCUGCAACACCAAGCAGUUCAACAUUAUCAUUGCAAUCCGGUGCUAGCAAUGCCCGUUUAUGUCUGGUGAUCUCACACAACUGUGACAAGCUAGGAGCAAAUAUGGUGAGUUUAUCUAAGUAACAUGGACAUCUGACAGCAUUUGCAGGGAUACCCUGCCAGGCCCUAUCCCCGCAAAUCAGAAGAACAUCAGGAGGUAAGGCCAAAGCUGUACAAUUGUUCCAAACACUGUAGUUGUUACCCCUUGUCUCCGUGCCAUAAGCCCCUAAACCCUGCCUAGCAGUGUCAUUGUAAUCCCAGGUGUUAUUUGUAUUUCUGUACCUGUAUGGCCCUUUCCAGGUUCCUGUAGCAGGAUCUCGGUAAUUCAUUCUUAUUCGUGGUAACACGUUUGGUGCUACUCUAUUUAUUCUUUGAAAAUGAAUACUUGCAGGAGGGUCUUCUGGUCCCCAGUCAAACAUAAGUGAUUCAAGACACCCAAUGCCUCGGACAAUCGUUCAUCGAUGUUCUUGAUCUCUUUUAAUCUCACUAAUUGUUCCUUUAAAACCUGAUGUGAUUGUUCAACCAUCACUUGGCCUGUGGGAGAAAAUGGAACACUCGUUUUAGGCUGAAUCUGUAGGAAAAUCCAUUCCAGAACUCGAAAAUGCUGCCCUAUCAUUCCACCCUUGCCAUCACCUGUGUCACUUAUACUACUCCUAUUACCCGUGCUGUUAGUGUCAGUGGCAUCCUCCUGGUACCGUUUCUGUCGCCCCUUACUCUCCCCCUUUUCUUUUUGCCACUGACCAUUCACCACAACUGGAUGAGACACAUGAUUGCUAAUUAGGAAAGAGAGCGUAACGUCUGCUAGACGGCUGCAGGCAGUGCCGGCUGCAGCCUUAGAAGCUGUUUGUGACAGAGCCUGCCGGUGGGCAUUUGGCAGUGUGAUCCGUGGCUCUGCACUCCUGCCCCGCAAUAAAGGCAGUAAUAGAGCUAAGUCGUCAUGAGUAAUCCGCACAACAUGGCAACCCCACGGAAUGUAAUCCAGGAACAUAGUUAUACCACCGAUCUGGGGACAAAUAGUCUUUUUUGCAGUGCAAGACACGCCUCUCAUAAACAGAAUGCCAGAGCGAAGCAGCACAGCCAGCCCUGCCUCCACGGUCACGUCAGACAGGCUGCAGGGUCCUGAUCUCUGCCCCUCUGUGUGCCGACUCGCCACACGGUGAGGGUCGGCUGCCGGUGUCCACUGACGCCUCUGGUCUCCCGUAGCAACUCGAUCCCGGCUGUCCCGCAUCCCCCCACGAUUGCUUUGUUUCCCUGCAUUUUUAUUUUUAGUUUUCCCCCACGUCUCACCGCGUGUCCUGUGUCCGGGUUGGUGCUUGGAGUUUCUCAGUGUCUCUCGGGUGUUGCGGCUUCUGUCGGCUCUCCGUGUCUCUCAGAGCCGUCCAUGUCUCUGAAGCAUCUCUCAGGGCUCUCUGUGCCUCUGAAGUCUCUCCGUGUGUCUCAGGUCUCUCAGCUUCUCUCAGGGCUCUCCGUGUCUCUGAAGCCUCUCUGUUUCUGUCAGCAUCUGUCAGAUCUCUGCGUGUCAGUCUCAGCCUGUUCGGGCCCCAUACGUUGCAGGAAGCACGGCCGAAAGCAUGACAGACACCAGAAUGGUCAGAUCAUGCUCCAUUUUAGUGCCCGAAUAGCCUGACUUUUCUAGUGAACUUAAACGGGAGGAUAGUGUCUCACACAAGAUUAUUGGUCAAACGCACUCAGACAGACAACUACAAGAAAACAACCCCACCUGCAAGAAAACAACCCCCUUGUGAUUAGCAGUCACGUAGACCUUGUCCUUGAAGCCAGCUGCUGGCAACAAUAUUUCUCUAAAUUCCUCACUUGGGCGAUGUGGGAACACUGUCAUGGGAACUUGGUUUGCUCAGCUGCAGCAAGCCCUGGGAUCUUUGCUGUUUCAGAAAUCCCUCAACACUUCCUUGAAUCACCACAUAAUUUUGGAAGCUUUUUUUUAACCUAACAAUCAUUUUUAAUGAAUAUUUGACACACUAAUUCUUUGAAGCUUUUAAAAAUAAAGGUUAGUAUAGUCACUCACCAAAAGAUCUCAACCAGCUUGUUGGGUUUACUGACCUUUGGAAAAAGGAAGUUUUACGCUCAUUUGUUUUGCUAUGCUUGUUGGGAGUUGUAGUCUAACUGAGAAGUUUCUCUACACCAACGCAGCUUCGUGUUGAAACACCAAGAUGCUGCCAUCUAGUGAAACUCAAGAUUUCCAGUGGGAUUUUCUCCUGCACAGGUUAGGAAUAAAAGAGGGUCAUGAACAUUAGCUAUCCAUUCCCCCAUAAAGAAUGCAAGAGAUUAACAGGAUUCUCACCAAAAAAGGCCACGACAAUGUUCUUCCCCAAGCAAUUGCUCUUUAU